AAGCCAAGUGUGAUUGAAAGAGUGGCAGCUUUUGUGUUCAUAUAAACAUGUGCAUGGAUUUGGAAAUAAUUAAAUUUAAAGUAGCACCACAAUUAGAUAAAAACGAAUGCAGGACCACCUGAAAGCAGAAAACUGUGUUUUAAACAAACAUGUCUGAGGAACAACAUAUGUCCACAUCGACUGCCAAUCCACAUGAGCACCAAAGACCUGUUUCCAUGAGAAGUGACAUGUCCAAAGGGGAACCCCCAGACUUCAGUGAUAAUAAACCAAGUCCACUUGAGCACCAAAGACCUGUUUCCACGAGAAGUGACAUGUCCAAAGGGGAACCCCCAGACUUCAGUGAUAAUAAACCAAGUCCACAUGAGCACCAAAAGACCUGUUUCCAUGAGAAGUGACAUGUCCAAAGGGGAACCCCCAGACUUCAGUGAUAAUAAACCAAGUCCACAUGAGCACCAAAGACCUGUUUCCAUGAGAAGUGACAUGUCCAAAGGGGAACCCCCAGACUUCAGUGAUAAUAAACCAAGUCCACAUGAGCACCA
Maylandia zebra (zebra mbuna) is the source of this 539-nucleotide non-coding RNA. The record is from RefSeq and is a predicted model, not a curated record. NCBI's taxonomy places the organism in Eukaryota, Metazoa, Chordata, Actinopteri, Cichliformes, Cichlidae.